AUCUGCCUCAGUUUCCCCAUCUGUAAAGUGGGAAUUAUAACUGUAGUCACCAGGGCAGGGCUGUGCCUUAAUUAGCUAAUUGUCCUAAAAGGCUUUGAAGAGGCCCAUAGAAGUGGCAGUUUAAGCGUUAAGUAUUAUUAUUAGAUGGACCACACCAUCCUGCAGCCAGCCCCGGGGAGACUAACCACUGGUUUGGAGUCGUCUCUUGACGUUGGCAGAAACUGUGCUUCAAAACCAGGGCCCCAGGGAAGUGGCAUGUGAUGUCCCCUGGUUAGACAGAGAUCAGCAAAAUGCAGGUUGGUCUCUCCUUGAACAAGAAAUGGUGCUGCCUCCUGGCAGGGACAAGGGACACCAGGGGGAAACAGGGGCCAGGCAGAUGAGGGGGAAGGGACAGAGAAAGACCAAGUUGGUGAGACCCAACGUUCGUUCGUCAUUCAACAAAUAUUUACAAAAUCCUUUUUUUAUGUGCUAAAUACCAAGGGUGGUGGAAAGGGGAAUAAGACACAGUUUCUACCCUCAAGGAAUUUACAAUCUGGUUUGACGUCACAGGCACAAAUAUCUAUCAAAAAAAAAAGAGAGAGACAGGAGAAGGGUCAUUGGCUUUGGGAGAAGCAAGCUGCUAUGUGGUCAGCAGCUGGGUGGAGAGACCUUUGUGGUGAGGAACUGAGGCCUCCAAGCAACAGCUAGAGGGGAACUAAGACCUGCUGGCAGCCAUGUGGAUGAGCUCGGCAAUUUCUGCAAAGCUUGUCAAAUGACUGCAGCCCUGGCCGACGGCUUGAUCACAGCUCUCCAAAUUCUUAACCUUCUGCGUACUCUGGGAGGGGUCACCUAAAAUCUGAUGGAUCCGGGUAGAAGAGAAGAGAGAGUCAGGACAGCGGUGAAGAAACCAGCGUUUCUCCACGUUCCCAUGAUUCUUCUGAAACUGUUGGAGUGGAAAUCUUUUCACCUUUGCACUUAGAAUAAAGCAACUCAGCAUGAACAAUAGGUUGGCUUCUGCAUCCUCUUUGGUAAGCAAGCGCUUCUGCCGCUGAGCUCAGUUUUCUGGUCUAAAGGUCGGGAGCAGGCUUGUGUAACCCUCGGGAUGGUGAAUGUAGAGAUGGAAGGGUGAGAGCAGCCAGGAGAGACUCAGGUGAACUUCCGGCUUUGCCACUAUCGAACUGUCCCUUAGGCAACGCCAACUUCUCUCUUUAAGCCACAGUUCCCUCGUGGCUACAAAAUAAAGGGAUCAAACGAGAUGGUCUCUAAACUCCGUUUGGCUCUGAUGUGACUAUACGCUAACUUGUUCCCCUUCUCCUUGGGGCAUUUAAAUGGUGGAACUGUGUAUGAGUUCAAGUAACCAUUCACCGUGGGCCUGGAGGGCAUGAGCUGCGAUGGGCCUGAAUGCAGCUUUGGAACAGGUGCACGCAACGCAGCAUCUCUGAGAUAGUUCACAACGACUUGAGGUGGCAUGUUUAUAUAAGAAGGGAAAUUCAAGCUCAGAGUGAUGAGGUGACAUUCAUCGAAACAGCCCUGGAUCUCAAUCUACUUGCUCUUCUUCAUAUUGAACAACUCACUCACUUACACGUCUGGCAAAUAGCGCUGCUGACAUCUAUUCUUCAGGUUGCAAACUGACCAUUUUGCACAGAUUUUUUGGAAUGUGCUCCUAGAGAGGAGGUCUACCCCUGACUUUGCAAUUAAGCAGCUUUGAGACUCGGGGCAAAUCACUUUCUGCUUGCAGGACUCAGUCUACUAAUUUAGGUCAUGAAAUAGCUGAACUAGUCUAAUGUAUUUCAAACCCCUUUUAUCAGCUAAAGCAUUUCCUCCUGAAGAAUCUUCUAUGGAACAACAAUUUAUAAAAGUAGAAUUUUCUAGUGAAGACCUGCUGAUGGGCCUCUUUGUCCACGGCUGUAAUGACUGGAGCCUUGUGGAAACCAGGUUGAAUAAGGUUGAAUUGAAGAACCUUUAAAGUCUCCUCCAAGGAUGAUAUUUGGUUAUUCUAAUUCUGUGCAUAGAAAAGGAGUCAUAAUGGCAUCAGGUCUGGCAUGUCAUUGAAAUGGAAUGCUGUGUAGGUUCCAUUUCUUUGGAAAAAUUCCAUGUCACAGGGAAACUGCCAGGCUGAUGGGAUUCUUCAUCUGGGUUUGUACAAUGCAGGAUGAUUAGAUUCAGGGAAAAGACCUUCCAUCUUAUUUCAUUUACUUGGGGACCACUGUAAUUGGUAGUGGGGGGGCUGGUGUGGAAUUUCUGUGUAACCUGGGUGCUUGAAUCAAUUAUUUCUUAGUAAACACCAGACAUUCAUAUUUGAGGACUCGCUCAUUCAUUUCUACUAUUCAUAAUAAAGGCAAAUAAUUGAAUGAUACGUGAUUGCCAUUCUUGCCUAUUAUAAUUUUCAAACCAUUCAUGAAAAAGCCAACUGAAAUAUGUUCACAUUGAAUUUCAUAUGUGUUCACAUACGUAAAUAUCACAUAUAUCUGUGUAAUGCAUGCUUAUCUAACAUAAAAAUAACAUAAAGAUAUUUAUCAUAUUUUUGUACAUUUGAUAUGCCUAAAAAAUUUAAGGAGAUAAAACAUUUUGGUGUUAGGUUGAUAGUAAUUGUUUUUUAGAAUGAACACAAUCUAUUUGUUAACUAAUACAAUGUUGCAUUAAAGUUGCAUUUUUGUUUGUAUUCCUUAAAGCAGUAUUCUGUGCCUCAUUGUUCUCACCCUCAUUCAAAGCACCCAAGGGUUGAAAGUGGUGGAAGCCUGCCGGGCUCUGACUGCCUGUUGCAGCUCACAACCAUGUCCCUCAUUUUGAUCCUUGAUCAAAUGCUUGCGUUCGCUUCGCUCUCUCUGGUAUCUGAACGUACGUAAUGUAGUAUCCUGCAAUCCAGCUAGACCAGAGACAGAGAUGGUAUAUUGACCCUCAUCUAUCUGAUGCAGGUGUAUAUUCUUCAUGUGGUUUGGAACUGGAAGGGGGAGAGAGAUAUGGGUUUAUUGGCUCCCUUCAACCCCAGUGGUCCAUUCGGGGUUUUAGUGAUCCAUUAUCUGGUUAGUCACUCUAACUGGAUAAGCGCCUGCAGGGCGGGGAUCAGCCUGUAGUCCAGGGCUCUACGACUUGUAACCUAGGAAUAAAUUCUGGAUGAGCUUAACUGAAAUUCCACCACAGCCUCCUCAGUGCCUACUACAAUACGUUGCACCAGGAGGUGCUCAGUGAACACCUCCUGCAUGAAUGAAUGGAUUACAUGGGCAUUUGUGCAUGGCGUAAACCAGAUUCUGGUGGGGCCUUGGGUGAAAUGCUGUGCUGAGUAUUGUCCACUUCCCCUUCCGAGUCUACUCUCUACCCUGCUCUGCUCUGCCAGGCGGACCUUGAUGGACAGAAUUAAGGGCUCCUUUGCCCUCUGGCUUUGCGUUAGAUUUGGCAAGUGGGAGGCCCUAGCAGAGGAGGGCAGAGUGAGAUUGGACUAUUCAUUCCCCAGCUCCCUUACUGCUGGGUCAUGGGCACAGACGUUGGUAGAAGGCCCUCUUGGAUGGUUGGAGGCCUCUCCAGCACCUGGUACCUCUCCCUUCUCCCGCCCCUCAGGGAAAAAGGCAGAAAGGGCUCCCUGCUGUUGCUAGGUCUGGGGUGCUGCACCCCCUUUCUUAGUUUCCCCUAACCAGCCCAGAGCUUUGUAAAAACUCCCUUUGUUAAC
Molecule: long non-coding RNA, 3643 nt
Filed under: Equus caballus (horse)
Lineage: Eukaryota; Metazoa; Chordata; Mammalia; Perissodactyla; Equidae
Description: lncRNA (ENSECAG00000059433.1)
Source: RNAcentral